Triticum dicoccoides is the source of this 875-nucleotide long non-coding RNA. RefSeq lists it as uncharacterized. The record is from RefSeq and is a predicted model, not a curated record. Lineage: Eukaryota; Viridiplantae; Streptophyta; Magnoliopsida; Poales; Poaceae. The transcript has 2 exons.
CGUGACCUGCCUCAGGCCGUCGUCGCACACCAACACCCGUCUCUGCCCCCGCCUCUCCCACGCGCAUCUCGAGCGGGUCUUCCGCCCCAAACGACGACAAGAGGCACCGCGCGGCUCAUCCCGACGAUGCCUCCGGGGAUGCAGGGAACGACAGAGCCGCCGCUGGACGUGGCUAUUGCCGCUGGCCGCCCCUCUGCCAUGGCUUUUGCCGCUGGCUGCUGCCCAAAGCAUUGCCGCGACGACCCCCGCACUCAGGCCCUCCCCUUGCCGCCGCGAACUUCUCCCCCUACCACCGUGACCUUCUUCCCCUUGCGCCGCGACCUUCUUCCACCUUCCUCCUACACCCUUCGGCCGCGAGGCAACGCUCGAACUAGCCAAAUGGGUCAGCGCCCACCACCUGCGUGCCACCCAACACAGAUCGACGCCCGGGCAACGUGGGAUAUCCCUCCUCCCAAUGCGUCUCUACCAUCCUGUAGGUCUGUCCCAUUUGUUUGGUCACGACGGUGCUCUCAUUUGAGCAGCCAUAGCAUCACGGAAGCUCUUCAAAAAAUGGACCUGAUGGUGGUCCAUGUGAGCAGCCAUAGAAAAAAAUCUCUACCAGAUAUCUAAAUUCUUCAAACAUAGCACUGUGUUAUCUUUUUCGUUUGUAGGCUGCUCUAUAGAAUUGUAAUAGUAGCAUGGUCAGAUUCAGAUUAUAAUGUGCCAUUCUGUAACACACUAUGUUCCAUUUUUAGUUCAAAGUCUAGCAGAGAUUUCAGUUUAGGAAAAGGUUUUUGUAAAUUACAGUAUGAGCCAUUUCCAGCUCAUGUUCAGCAGAGUUUUCAGUUUCACGAAAGAUUUUGUGGAAAACAAACUAUAAGCCAUUUUCAGUUCAA